CGGGGCGUAGCUCAGCCUGGUAGAGCGCUACGUUCGGGACGUAGAAGCCGUGGGUUCAAAUCCCGCCGCCCCGA
RNAcentral lists this transfer RNA (74 nucleotides) under Kiritimatiellia bacterium. RNAcentral's name for it is "Kiritimatiellae bacterium (sponge metagenome) tRNA-Pro". It matches the Rfam family "tRNA". From Rfam's summary of the family: Transfer RNA (tRNA) molecules are approximately 80 nucleotides in length. The record is from RNAcentral. Lineage: Bacteria; Pseudomonadati; Kiritimatiellota; Kiritimatiellia.